This is a long non-coding RNA of Orcinus orca (killer whale), 338 nucleotides long. RefSeq lists it as uncharacterized. The transcript is spliced from 2 exons. Lineage: Eukaryota; Metazoa; Chordata; Mammalia; Artiodactyla; Delphinidae. The record is from RefSeq and is a predicted model, not a curated record.
GCUCAGAUUUUUUUUUUUUUUUUUUUUGCGGUAGGCGGGCCUCUCACUGUUGUGGCCUCUCCCGUUGCGGAGCACAGGCUCCGGACGCGCAUGCUCAGCGGCCAUGGCUCACGGGCCCAGCCGCUCCGCGGCAUGUGGGAUCCUCCCGGACCGGGGCACGAACCCGUGUCCCCUGCAUCGGCAGGCGAACGCUCAACCACUGCGCCACCAGGGAAGCCCUAUACUUUUAAAAUACUAAUAACUUUGCAAAGAGCCAUUCUAGUAAGUCAUAUAUUAGCACAAAUAUACCAAUACAUACAUCAAAACUUUGAUAAUCCCCACAUUAUCAUUAGUUUUGA